Sinocyclocheilus grahami is the source of this 686-nucleotide long non-coding RNA. The record is from Ensembl. NCBI's taxonomy places the organism in Eukaryota, Metazoa, Chordata, Actinopteri, Cypriniformes, Cyprinidae.
GUGCCGCUUUGUUGCUUAUGAAUGGAGCGUCGCGUUUUGUGUUGCGUCGCUUGAGGACGCAGGUGAGUUAUAAUGCUCCCUCCGCUCUGACAUGCGCUCAGGAAUGCCUGCACGACUAUUAACAUGACUUCCGCGAAUCAGACUGGAGCAGAGCGAGAAUGUUACGACCUCUGACUGCAGAUGGAGGAACGCAUGAUCCUCGCACUACACGCGAGCGACCCGACACACAGCCUGCUGGAACAGAUGCUGGUUUCAUGGACCAAGAAGGACUUGCAUUUACAGUCAAGGGAAAGGAAUCAGAUUUUUUGACUCAUGAGUUCAUACCAUCUUCAUCGCACACUUUAGGAUCAGAGCAGCACAUUUGUGAGGGGUCAAACUGUCUUACUCAUGAGGGACUAAAGCCAGAUGUCAAGACCACCACACCAACACCAGCCCAGGCCUUCACAGAUGAGUAACGGUCAGGGGCUGGAUCCUACUGAGCAACUCCAAGAACCAGAAACUGAACAGAUCCUGAAGAUCAAGAGGUCUGAUCAGGGGGAUCUAAAGCGAGGUCAUGAGAAUCUCAUGACACAGAGAAGCUGUGAAUAUGAUCCAGAGGAAGGGAUGCCAGCCGUGGAGAUCACCCAACCUGAUGAGGUGAGUGGAGACCAGAAAGAUUCAUCACGCCAUGUCUUUCAAAACCAAUA